GUGAGGAAUAUUGGUCAAUGGGCGAGAGCCUGAACCAGCCAAGUCGCGUGAAGGAAGAAGGAUCUAUGGUUCGUAAACUUCUUUUGCAGGGGAAUAAAGUGCAGGACGUGUCCUGUUUUGUAUGUACCCUGAGAAUAAGGAUCGGCUAACUCCGUGCCAGCAGCCGCGGUAAUACGGAGGAUCCGAGCGUUAUCCGGAUUUAUUGGGUUUAAAGGGUGCGUAGGUGGUUUGAUAAGUCAGCGGUGAAAGUUUGCAGCUUAACUGUAAAAAUGCCGUUGAAACUGUCGGACUUGAGUGUCAAUGAUGUAGGCGGAAUGCGUGGUGUAGCGGUGAAAUGCAUAGAUAUCACGCAGAACUCCGAUUGCGAAGGCAGCUUACUAAGCUACAACUGACACUGAAGCACGAAAGCGUGGGGAUCAAACAGGAUUAGAAACCCGAGUAGUCC
This 445-nucleotide ribosomal RNA is filed under the name uncultured bacterium. Its description in RNAcentral is "partial 16S ribosomal RNA". It matches the Rfam family "Bacterial small subunit ribosomal RNA", at positions 354 to 796 of the family's 1533-position model. The record is from RNAcentral.